AACGAACGCUGGCGGCAUGCCUAACACAUGCAAGUCGAACGAGACCUUCGGGUCUAGUGGCGCACGGGUGCGUAACGCGUGGGAACCUGCCCUUAGGUUCUGAAUAACUCCCCGAAAGGGGUGCUAAUACCGGAUAAUGUCUUCGGACCAAAGAUUUAUCGCCUUUGGAUGGGCCCGCGUUGGAUUAGCUAGUUGGUAGGGUAAAAGCCUACCAAGGCGACGAUCCAUAGCUGGUCUGAGAGGAUGAUCAGCCACACUGGGACUGAGACACGGCCCAGACUCCUACGGGAGGCAGCAGUGGGGAAUAUUGGACAAUGGGCGAAAGCCUGAUCCAGCAAUGCCGCGUGAGUGAUGAAGGCCUUAGGGUUGUAAAGCUCUUUUACCCGGGAUGAUAAUGACAGUACCGGGAGAAUAAGCGCCGGCUAACUCCGUG
RNAcentral lists this ribosomal RNA (433 nucleotides) under uncultured bacterium. RNAcentral's name for it is "partial 16S ribosomal RNA". It matches the Rfam family "Bacterial small subunit ribosomal RNA", at positions 29 to 507 of the family's 1533-position model. The record is from RNAcentral.